UCGUGUUUGAUGUUUCAUCUGUGAUUGAGUUUGAUUUUUAUUCAUAAGUUUCUUAACUACUUUCUAACUCCCUUCUAAAUUGUGAAAUCGCUUCCAGAUUUCACCUUUCGACAUGUGAUUUUUUGUUUAAAUGCAUAACGCCAGAUUAUUAACCAUCUCAAUCGACUGAAUUCUUCUUCCAUAUCGAGUCUAUCAUCUUUCAAAGUCUCUGUUACCCAGAUUAUCAACCUCGUUUUCAAGAAUUUGUUUCAAAAGAGUUUCAUCACUGAAUCCCUGGUCAGAUCGUGGUGAACCUCCUCUGGUCACUUCAUGAAGAAUUUCCACCUUCCCUGAAGUGAGGUGCUCAGAAUGCUCCAGAUAAAGCCCCGGAAUAAACAGCUCACAAUAGGGCAGAAACAGCCCAGGCAUGUGGUAAGGUGCCUAACAUUAGGGUCCUCAACCUCUACAAGGAGAUAAUCAUGGGACCAGCAAGAGAAAAUGGGACUGUUCCUAUAGGGAUACGGAGACAUCCAUGUCCUGCAAACCGAUUGCCUGACAGCUGCUCUCAGAUAUCCUGUAACCAGUGCUGAGAGGUCAGUUGCUACUUUACUGGCACAGCGAAGCUUGGCUUCAACAUUGGAGCUGAACGCUGGG
Rhincodon typus (whale shark) is the source of this 633-nucleotide long non-coding RNA. RefSeq lists it as uncharacterized. The transcript has 3 exons. NCBI's taxonomy places the organism in Eukaryota, Metazoa, Chordata, Chondrichthyes, Orectolobiformes, Rhincodontidae. The record is from RefSeq and is a predicted model, not a curated record.